GCUGAUUGUAAAUAUUAAUAGAGUUCUUAUUGUAAUAUAUCAUUGUAUAAAAAAACAAAAAAAUCACGACUCAUAUUCGAAGAGGUGUUAGAAUCUCCCAUCAUAACUCUCCAUGUAUAUGUGUGACCCACUUCAAUUUAUACAAUCGCUAAGGAUGAGAAUCUUAAUUAUUCGACCAUUGCAUAGAGUUAAUGAGGGCAUGUAAUAAUUCCAUUUUUUGGCUUGUAGUUAUAACAUAAAUUUAUUAAACCCAUGUGACUUUCUGAAUAUUUCCACGUUGGCCAUCUCCAAGAAUAACAAUAUUAAACUAGAGCUUAUUUAUCUCCAAAAGCAUUUUGGCCACACUUUUGGACUUAUAUGUAGCUAGAUUGGCUUAGUUUGUUAAUAUAAUUACAAUGAACACGUGAAUUCACAAAGUGAUUCUAUUCAUUUAUGUCGCGUUCUAAAUCGCUAUGGAAGAAUAUCAAUAUGCCAAAAAGUAAAAAUUAAUAAAAAAAUAUUUUAAUUUCUACGUAUCACACUCUCUCCACUAAAAUUGUGCCACGUAUCUCGUGAGUUGCUCGAGGCCUACAUGUGAUCGCCGAAGCUCGAGUCACUCCACACAAAUAAUUGUCAUUAGGGGCCUUCAUAUCACAAAUAAUUAAAAAGCCGUUUGGACUUUAUAAAAGAAAUUAUUUUUACCCCUUUCUAAAUAAACCACGUAUAUGAUAAUUUUCUAGUACAACGUUCUAAAAUAAACUUUUUUUUCCCCUAACAUACACAUGACAUAAACAUGUACUUAUAUAUCAUACUUCAAUCAGCAUCAGUUCUU
This 811-nucleotide long non-coding RNA is filed under the name Citrus x clementina. RNAcentral's name for it is "Citrus clementina (C. clementina) long non-coding RNA (CCLE_LNC002437)". Lineage: Eukaryota; Viridiplantae; Streptophyta; Magnoliopsida; Sapindales; Rutaceae. The record is from RNAcentral.